This 72-nucleotide transfer RNA is filed under the name Sphaerodactylus townsendi. RNAcentral describes it as "tRNA-Ala". Lineage: Eukaryota; Metazoa; Chordata; Lepidosauria; Squamata; Sphaerodactylidae. The record is from RNAcentral.
GUUACUAUGGUUCAGGGGCAGAGUAUCUGCUUUGCACUCAAAAGGACCAAGGUUCAAUUCCUAGCAUCUCCA